UCGCCGCCUGGCCCUUCAACAACCUGCGGUAUGUAAGCUCAGCCCAGCCCAUAUUGGCCCAGAAAGUAUCAAGGUAUUGGACGCGGUACUUCUUGUUUGGAUUCGAUCACCAGCUCUCGAUCCAACCGUCGAUUUCCAAUUCCCCUUCUGCCCACCUAAACAUAAUUGGAUGCCGCGCACGGCUCGGCGGCGAUGGCGAUGGCGAGAGCGAAGCACGGCCUCUUCCUCCUUCUCCACAGCCGUCGCUUCUUCUCCCUCGAUUACCCGCUCUGCCGCUCCCCCAACACCCUGUCUCCAUCUUAUCUAACCGCUGCCGCGCGUGGCUUCUGCUCCGACGGCAUCUCCGACCUCCGCGACCGCAUCCUCCGCCUCUCCGAGAACCCUGCCUCCGUUUCCACUGCCUCUGCUGACAAAGAGGCCGUCCGAUCUGCCGUAUCCGCACUAGCCGACGAGCUUCUCGCCCUGCCCGACGGCCAGGAUCCUGCGGUCUCCCUGGGCUCUGGCUCCUUCGACGCCCUCCUCCGCCUUCCCCCAGCUGGAUUCGCCUCCGUAGAGCUCCUCUCCCGCCUCAAGUCCCGCCCGCUCCUCGCCCUUCAGGUUUUUAACUGGAGAAAACGGCAGGCUGAUGCCGAGAUCCCGAUGCUCCCUGAGGAGUAUUACAAGGCCAUCACCCUGGCGAGCCGCACCAAGAACGUCGAUCUAGCCGCGGAGCUCUUCUCCCAAGCCAUAGCUGACGGCAUCCGUGAGGUCUGCCUCUAUAAUGCCCUCAUGUCCACCUAUAUGAACAAUGGCCUCACCAAGAAGGCGAUCUGGGUAUUUGAGGUCCUGAAGCAAGAUGCCGAGUGCAAGCCCACCAUUGUCAGCUACAACAUUCUGCUUUCUGUAUUUGGCCGCUCCAUGCUCGUGGAGCAUAUAGAGACCACCCUCCAAGCAAUCAAUGAUUCGGAGCUCUCCUACACCAUCACCACCUACAACACAGCCAUAGCCGCAUAUCUUACGGCAUGGAUGUGGGAUAAAAUGGAGGGGAUGUACCAAUCUAUGCUGGAGGGGCCUGUCAAACCUGAUGCUGGUACCCUCCUCCUGAUGUUGAGGGGUUAUGCCUACUCAAACAAUUUAGAGAAGAUGGAAAAGACUUAUGAUCAAGUAAAGGAGACAGUCAAUAAUCGGCAGUGGCCUUUGAUCUAUGCAAUGAUAUGUGCUUAUACUAAGAGUUCUCACCCUGAUCGAGUCAAAAGAGUGGAAGCCUUGAUGAAGUUGAUUCCAGAUGAUGACUAUAAACCUUGGGUCACUGUACUUUUAAUCAAGAUGUAUGCACAGGAGAGCAUGAUUGAAGCAAUGGAAGGAUUAAUAUCCAAGGCAUUCCAACGACACAUUAUAGUGACUACUGCAGGGAUAAUGCGUUCCAUCAUAUCAAAUUACUUCAGAAAUAAUGCGGUGGAUCGGCUAGCUGGGUUCAUCAGACAGGCAGAAUAUGCAGGGUGGCGGCUUUUUCGAUCACUGUAUCACUGCAAGAUGGUGAUGUAUGGGCAGCAGAAUCGCCUGGAGGAGAUGCUUGGUGUUCUGGAUGAGAUGGAGAAUUUCAGGUUUAGUCGAACAAGGAAAACUUUUUUGAUAAUGUACAAGGCAUAUUACAACACAGGGAGGAGGCCAGAGGCAGCAACGGUUAUUGGGAUGAUGUGGAAGCAUGGUUAUGGCAAUGAUGAGGAUGCUUUUGUUUUGUGAAGUUUGAAUAGAUACUGCAGAUGGAAUUAUUAGUUUAUGAUAUACACAAUGAUUCGGAUGAUACAACAGAUGAUUUCUCCAAAACUAAGAAUGCAGACCUUUUAUAGAAAUUGACUAGGGAUUGCUGAUGGAAUUAUUUAGAUUAAUAACAGACUAGCAGAUUAUGAAGUUCUACUUGACCAAUGCUGGGAAUUUGCAUAAUCUAGCUGAUUGGUCAAAUGUUAAAGUGAAGAAUGGCUGUUCGUUUUGCUUGAUUGACUUCUUGUGCAUAUCCCACAUUUGUAUCUAUAGAAGAGCUAUGACAAACCCCCAAGUAAUUCAGACAUGCCGGAUGCUGUUGUACCAAGAAACAGGACAUUACUUUUUUUUUAUUCUCCUUUUUUGUGGUUACUGAAUCCAGAAAUCAAAUAAAGUCAGACAUUGAAGAAAUCUUCUCACAUGAUAUCAUCAUCUCAAGCACCAGAAGAUAAGAGAGGUUUGAGGAAAGCCUUCUGUGGGAUGAUCUCAAUGGACCAUAAUAAGAAGAUGGAUAAAAAAGAUCAAGAAGCCCAAGUAGCAAUCUUCCAGUCAAGGACAGAGACAAACAUGUUCAUGUUGCAGGAAUUGUGCCUCAAGCGUUGUUUUCUUGUGACCUUCAAGCUUACCUACGCUGCAUAAAAGAUUGCAACAGUGAGACUGUGGAGCUGAAGGAUUAAACCAUCUUUUCUGGAGCAUGGCUGACCAACCAACCAACCAUUUGCCAAGGAAGAAGAAGCCUCACGAGUCAUCAAGAGAAGGGCCAAAGUGUCCCCUUCGUGUCUGCUGGCAGUGGCUGGCGUUUAAUGCCAAUGUAAAGCCAUUCGUACGCUGUCACCAACGAGAACGCCAAGAAAAGGUUCCAAAUGGUUGGUGGAUUCUACACGACAAAACUCAUGUUGCCAGCUCCCAGAGGCAUGACAAUAACAGCAGCUCCGGCGAAGGCUGCCACUGCCAAAGAAGCAGACCGACUGUGAUCCAAAUGCUCUCUCUCUCGUCUGUGGAGUGCAUGCUACAGGACAAAGGAGAAGUCUCUCGCCUGGGACAACUUCACUUCGUCUUGUUCUCCCCACACCCUCUCCAUUACUGUUCCUUAGACUCAAUCAGUUUAUGUCCCACCGGUGCUGGGAGUAGCCUAAAGGAAAGGACUAAUGAUGCUGUGCUUAAAACUAAGCUGUGGUGGAAAAGAAUUACGUGCUGUCGAGAGUCAUUUACUCGGUGAUUCCUUCUGCAAAAGAGAAAAUUGCAAGUGACUUGUGCUUUUUUUUGUAGCUGAAGCAAGUUUUCAGGGCAUCAAUCAUUGAUGAGAAGAUGGAAACAAUAGCUUGGGAUAUUAAUUGUGAUGUCUGAGAUCAUAUCAUCACGGAUGGGCCAUAGCUUUAGAUUGCAUAUGAUCUGGUACCAGUUGCCAUUCUCA
This is a non-coding RNA of Musa acuminata subsp. malaccensis (wild Malaysian banana), 3154 nucleotides long. NCBI's taxonomy places the organism in Eukaryota, Viridiplantae, Streptophyta, Magnoliopsida, Zingiberales, Musaceae. The record is from RefSeq and is a predicted model, not a curated record.